This 65-nucleotide transfer RNA is filed under the name Ochotona princeps (American pika). RNAcentral describes it as "tRNA-Thr". The record is from RNAcentral. Lineage: Eukaryota; Metazoa; Chordata; Mammalia; Lagomorpha; Ochotonidae.
UCCUCGUAUAUAACAAUUACCCUGGUCUUGUAAACCAAAAAUGAAGUGCAACCCUUCCUAGGACA